This 1512-nucleotide long non-coding RNA is filed under the name Chinchilla lanigera (long-tailed chinchilla). Its description in RNAcentral is "lncRNA (ENSCLAG00000028642.1)". Lineage: Eukaryota; Metazoa; Chordata; Mammalia; Rodentia; Chinchillidae. The record is from RNAcentral.
CUGGCUUUUGGCUCAGACAGGCUGCAGCCUUCCUGAAACCUGUGCUGGGCUCACUCCUGUCCCUCAACUUUCUUCCUAGCGCUGACUCCAGCCACCCAGUGGGGACAGGAACCUCAGAAAGCAGGGUUCCCGGAGGCCAAUGGCUUUAGGAACGGCUACCAGCCUCCCAAUGGCUACGGACCUGGAGCAGAACUGAGCUUCGUCGGUGGCCCCCUGCUGCAGAAAGUCGGGUUUGCUUACAGGAAUGGAGCCCUGGGAGCUGGCGUCUUCCCCGAGGCUGAAGCACAGCCAGGGUUCCCUGAGGCCAAUGGCUUUAGGAAUGGGCAAAGAGAGAAGGCUCCUAUGUACCCAAAGGCUGCAGGCCCAGCUCUGGAAGGGGUCCGUAAGAAGCAAGCAGGUCAGCCAGGGGCCCAGCUGGGCUCUCCCUGGCCCUACCUACGGCCCUGGGCCACUUGGGUGAGGCCUGGAUACGGACACGCGGGGCUCAGGAGCCAGCCAGGACCCUAUGGACAGCUGAAGCCCGCACUGGGCCCGGGGCCCUUUGGUGAGUGUGGGUCUGCCAGACUCACAGGUGAAAGUGGGUGGGCAAGUAGGGUGUGUGGUGCAGGACUGUAAUCCCAGCACGGAGGAGGCUGAGGCAGGAGGGUACUCGAGAGUUGAAGCCCAGCCUGAGGAGCUCAGUGCCAGCCUGAAGUACAUAGUGAGACCCUGUCUCAAAAGAAAGGAAAGGAAAGGGAAAGAGAAAGGGAAAGGAAGGGAAAGGAAAGAAAAGCAAGGGAAAGUGGGUGGGUAGAAAUACUCUGCUGACCCCAGCGGUCUCUGGUCUGUCUGUGUCUCAGGGAGCCCUGAAGUGAAGAGCGGCAACAAUGGCCAGUUGGAGGCCAGUUACUGAGGUGAGAGGGAGCCACAGCAGCCCACCUGCGCCACCCUGAAAGUCACCACUGUCACCCUAAAGCUGCACUGGAGGGUGCCCACAGUGCCUGAGUGGGAAAGCACCCUCUCAGCCCUGGCAGGGGCCUCCUGAGGGGUGGGGGAGCGCGGAUCCAGGGUGGUGAGGAGCGCCAUCCCCCCAGGGCCUGUCGCUCCCUAGUUCCAGCUCUGCCUCUUCCCAGGCCGCUGCCCUCUUGGGAAAUGCUGAGCACCUGAGCUGGCCCCUGCUCAUCGGAGAGCCCCCAAACAGCAUCCCCUCCAUGGGGCAAGGAAGGCAGGACCUUGGGGAUUGGCCUCUGAUGCUGCUGGCCGGGGGUCUCCCCUGGGCUGACGCAUUAAUAAAUGCAAUGUGCUUCCAUUCGCCUUUGUGUACCACUGUGGUGAGGGUGGCACGGGUUGGCAACCACUACCUAGCACCUCAUUUAUUUAUUCACGCAACAAAUGCCAGUGUGGUUGUGUGCCAGGGGCCAUGCUCUGGAUGGGUGACAUCAUUAGAAUAAAACAGACAACACCAGUAAGGAAACUGUAUCUAAAUUAGAGGACUUGUGUAUGGAAAAAAUUACUUUGUAAUUUGUAUUUUAG